AGCGAACGCUGGCGGCAGGCCUAACACAUGCAAGUCGAACGAACCUUUCGGGGUUAGUGGCGGACGGGUGAGUAACACGUGGGAACGUGCCUUUAGGUUCGGCAUAACUCAGGGAAACUUGUGCUAAUACCGAAUGUGCCCCUCGGGGGAAAGAUUAAUCGCCUUUAGAGCGGCCUGCGACUGAUUAGCUAGUUGGUUGAGGUAAUGGCUCACCAAGGCGACGAUCAGUAGCUGGUCUGAGAGGAUGAUCAGCCACAUUGGGACUGAGACACGGCCCAAACUCCUACGGGAGGCAGCAGUGGGGAAUCUUGCGCAAUGGGCGAAAGCCUGACGCAGCCAUGCCGCGUGAAUGAUGAAGGUCUUAGGAUUGUAAAAUUCUUUCACCGGGGACGAUAAUGACGGUACCCGGAGAAGAAGCCCCGGCUAACUUCGUG
RNAcentral lists this ribosomal RNA (434 nucleotides) under uncultured bacterium. Its description in RNAcentral is "partial 16S ribosomal RNA". It matches the Rfam family "Bacterial small subunit ribosomal RNA", at positions 29 to 507 of the family's 1533-position model. The record is from RNAcentral.